UGGGGAAUCUUAGACAAUGGGCGAAAGCCUGAUCUAGCCAUGCCGCGUGAGUGAUGAAGGCCUUAGGGUCGUAAAGCUCUUUCGCCAGGGAUGAUAAUGACAGUACCUGGUAAAGAAACCCCGGCUAACUCCGUGCCAGCAGCCGCGGUAAUACGGAGGGGUUAGCGUUGUUCGGAAUUACUGGGCGUAAAGCGCGCGUAGGCGGAUCAGAAAGUUGGGGUGAAAUCCCAGGGCUCAACCCUGGAACUGCCUCCAAAACUCCUGGUCUUGAGUUCGAGAGAGGUGAGUGGAAUUCCGAGUGUAGAGGUGAAAUUCGUAGAUAUUCGGAGGAACACCAGUGGCGAAGGCGG
RNAcentral lists this ribosomal RNA (350 nucleotides) under uncultured bacterium. RNAcentral describes it as "bacterial SSU rRNA". It matches the Rfam family "Bacterial small subunit ribosomal RNA", at positions 355 to 724 of the family's 1533-position model. The record is from RNAcentral.